AUCACCUAGCUUAGUAGUGAUGUCCAGGUCCUAUUACAGGACCACAGAGAAUCACCUAGCUUAGUAGUGAUGUCCAGGUCCUAUUACAGGACCACAGAGAAUCACCUAGCUUAUUAGUGAUGUCCAGGUCCUAUUACAGGACCACAGAGAAUCACCUAGCUUAGUAGUGAUGUCCUGGUCCUAUUACAGGACCACAGAGAAUCACCUAGCUUAGUAGUGAUGUCCAGGUCCUAUUACAGGACCACAGAGAAUCACCUAGCUUAGUAGUGAUGUCCAGGUCCUAUUACAGGACCACAGAGAAUCACCUAGCUUAGUAGUGAUGUCCAGGUCCUAUUACACGACCACAGAGAAUCACCUUGCUUAGUAGUGAUGUCCAGGUCCUAUUACAGGACCACAGAGAAUCACCUAGCUUAGUAGUGAUGUCCUGGUCCUAUUACAGGACCACAGAGAAUCACCUAGCUUAGUAGUGAUGUCCUGGUCCUAUUACAGGGCCACAGACAAUCACCUAGCUUUGUAGUGAUGUCCAGGUCCUAUUACAGGACCACAGAGAAUCACCUAGCUUAGUAGUGAUGUCCUGGUCUUAUUACAGGACCACAGAGAAUCACCUAGCUUAGUAGUGAUGUCCAGGUCCUAUUACAGGACCACAGAGAAUCACCUAGCUUAGUAGUGAUGUCCAGGUCCUAUUACAGGACCACAGAGAAUCACCUAGCUUAGUAGUGAUGUCCAGGUCCUAUUACAGGACCACAGAGAAUCACCUAGCAUAGUAGUGAUGUCCAGGUCCUAUUACAGGACCACAGAGAAUCACCUAGCUUAGUAGUGAUGUCCAGGUCCUAUUACAGGACCACAGAGAAUCACCUAGCUUAGUAGUGAUGUCCAGGUCCUAUUACAGGACCACAGAGAAUCACC
RNAcentral lists this long non-coding RNA (906 nucleotides) under Salmo salar (Atlantic salmon). RNAcentral's name for it is "lncRNA (ENSSSAG00000113545.1)". Lineage: Eukaryota; Metazoa; Chordata; Actinopteri; Salmoniformes; Salmonidae. The record is from RNAcentral.